CCUACGGGAGGCAGCAGUGAGGAAUAUUGGUCAAUGGGCGUAACCCUGAACCAGCCAAGUCGCGUGAGGGAUGACGGCUCUAUGGGUUGUAAACUUCUUUUAUAAGGGAAUAAAGUGAGGGACGUGUGGCGUAUUGCAUGUACCUUAUGAAUAAGGAUCGGCUAACUCCGUGCCAGCAGCCGCGGUAAUACGGAGGAUCCGAGCGUUAUCCGGAUUUAUUGGGUUUAAAGGGAGCGUAGGCGGCCUUUUAAGCCAGGUGUGAAAGUCUUGGGCUCAACCUUAGAACUGCAGUGGAAACUGGGGGGCUUGAGUAUGCUUGAGGAAGGCGGAAUGCGUGGUGUAGCGGUGAAAUGCUUAGAUAUCACGCAGAACCCCGAUUGCGAAGGCAGCCUGCCAAGCCAUUACUGACGCUGAUGCACGAAAGUGUGGGUAUCGAACAGGAUUAGAUACCCUGGUAGUC
This 460-nucleotide ribosomal RNA is filed under the name uncultured bacterium. Its description in RNAcentral is "partial 16S ribosomal RNA". It matches the Rfam family "Bacterial small subunit ribosomal RNA", at positions 338 to 795 of the family's 1533-position model. The record is from RNAcentral.